UUUUGGGAGAUGCUAUUGAUGGAGUAUUUUUCCGAGAGUGACAAGCGGAAGAUCAAAGAAGAUUUUCGAAAGUUGAGGCAAGGUAGUCGAACGUGUUAAGGAUUUUAUAGGUUGGCGAAUUUCGUAAAGUUGUUUGGAGUCUUGAAGAGUUGAUCGCAGAAGUUUUGAAGAAGAGAUUCAAAUUGGAGAACGAAGACUCAUUCGGAAAGCUCGACACCUAAGGUAUAAAGAAAAGAUCAUUUGUGGUGAAAAUAUCU
RNAcentral lists this long non-coding RNA (257 nucleotides) under Ananas comosus (pineapple). RNAcentral describes it as "long non-coding RNA (ACOM_LNC009025)". The record is from RNAcentral. Lineage: Eukaryota; Viridiplantae; Streptophyta; Magnoliopsida; Poales; Bromeliaceae.